This 627-nucleotide long non-coding RNA is filed under the name Mytilus galloprovincialis (Mediterranean mussel). The record is from RNAcentral. Lineage: Eukaryota; Metazoa; Mollusca; Bivalvia; Mytilida; Mytilidae.
CAGGCUCUUGAGAGCCUCUUGUUAUUACUUGUCACAGAAUGUUUUAGGGACCAUUUGAUUUCAAAAUGGCCAGAAUUUAAUUUUUCAAAGACAUACAUCACUAUAAAAUUAGUUGAAAGUCUCACAAUUUUUGAAAAAAGAUGGUUCAAAAUGGAUAUAAAUUUUAUAAACAUGUAGAUUGAAGAAUACAUGAAAAUCGUUAUAAAUUAUUCAUAUUAUUUAUCUACUAGCGUACAAGGGUAAAUGAAUAGGAAUUGGAAAGAUGAUGUGUGGCAUUAUCUUAUUUGAUAUUGGCAGUGUUCUCCCCAGUAUGUUAAAAUAACACUGUAAGGAUUGAAAUUAAUAGGAGGUAGAACUUCAUUUUUAAUGCAAUCUUUUGUCAAUCUCUUCAGAUAGCACCAUGGUGCUAUAAGGUCUGGUGAAAACUAGCUAUUUUAUGUUUUGACUUCCAAUGAUAUUACCCGAGUUUAAAGUUGAACAAAGUUUUUUUAUUUAUUUGUUUGUCUUGACAACAUUAAUUUUGCAGCUUGAACAUCAUUCCAUAGUUUUUAAAUCUCCAUCAUUCCAUUUUAAAAUUUCUGAAAGCCAUUUAGAACAUUUACAGUGGAAAAUUUAGUUGUGUUGGGG